RNAcentral lists this ribosomal RNA (254 nucleotides) under uncultured bacterium. RNAcentral's name for it is "partial 16S ribosomal RNA". It matches the Rfam family "Bacterial small subunit ribosomal RNA", at positions 524 to 776 of the family's 1533-position model. The record is from RNAcentral.
UACAGAGGGUGCGAGCGUUAAUCGGAAUUACUGGGCGUAAAGCGUGCGUAGACGGUUAUUUAAGUCGGAUGUGAAAGCCCCGGGCUCAACCUGGGAAUUGCAUUCGAGACUGAAUAGCUAGGGUGCGGUAGAGGGAAGCGGAAUUUCCGGUGUAGCGGUGAAAUGCGUAGAUAUCGAGAGGAACACCUGAGGUGAAGACGGGUUGCUGGGCCGACACUGACGCUGAGUGCGCGAAAGCCAGGGGAGCAAACGGG